CAUUGAGCUGCUUCUGCCUUAUAGCAGCACUGUGACCAAAGCAGGAAAAUUCCUGAGCUGAAGCUAUGGGCAUUGCUGGUGAGCUCCCACCUAAGCAGCUGUUCUGCACGCAGUAAGGUCAGCCAUGGUUAAAUUGUGAUGUUUCAGAUCCAUUUAUACAAUGUCCUCACCUGCUGAGCAGCCACCAUCAGCAACUCAGCGCAAAUGAGAGAGCUGGGAAAGAGAGGUGAGCUUUCAGGUAUGGACAUUCUUCCUGCCCUGAAAGGCAGAGGCAUCACGGUUUAAUAUCUGUAGAGGCUGUGGUGAAAUUGGACUGUAUUUAGUUAAUAAGUGUCAAACAAUGAAUGAAUGAGAUAUGGCUGUGGAUUGCUUAGACAAAAUCAUGUGGGGAAGAGGGAGUCUGAUAGGUUGACUGUCUGAUAGACAGUCAAAUAUAUGUCAGUAUAGCUGGGAGUGGAUUUCUUUUAUCUUGAAGCAAUAAUGAUGUUGGUUGUAGCUUGUUCAGUCCCUCUGCCCCUAUGAAAACUGUGCGUGAAGCCAAAGAACACACUGUGAGCAUUAAGAAUUAGAAGCGUUUAAUCUGGAAGACUUCAGAAGUGAGAGGUAGCUUGGGGUCUGAGAGCUGAGUUUUGGGUGUGAUGGAUGGGUAGGCGGAGAAGGAUCAGCACAAAUGCCCACUCUCCAUCAGGGCAGCUGUGUGUCUUACAGAUGGUAUCAGUGCGGUGCUUGUGGCGGAUGCCUGUGUGCCUUCUGCUGAGCAGCGUUGCAGCACUGCUUGCUUACGGUGAGCUUGGUCCUGCAAGUGACAACGGAGUGUAAGAUGUGGUUGGCUUUGGUCAUCCGUCUGCUUUGUGCAUUUAGAACAUUUGAUCUCUUUGGUAAGGAAGAACUGAGAGCUGAGUGAAAGUUUCAGAAUUUCAUCUCCAGUCACAACCUUAGUUUCAACAGGAGGGGGGAAAAGAGAAAUGCUGGCGCUCAAACAUACCUUUGCCCUGGCUACUUUCUCUGAUCGAAUUAAAGAUUUCAGACCUGAAAUUGUGCCCAAACCUGUUGC
This 1054-nucleotide long non-coding RNA is filed under the name Gallus gallus (chicken). The record is from RNAcentral. Lineage: Eukaryota; Metazoa; Chordata; Aves; Galliformes; Phasianidae.